RNAcentral lists this ribosomal RNA (460 nucleotides) under uncultured Desulfobulbus sp. Its description in RNAcentral is "bacterial SSU rRNA". It matches the Rfam family "Bacterial small subunit ribosomal RNA", at positions 925 to 1382 of the family's 1533-position model. Lineage: Bacteria; Pseudomonadati; Thermodesulfobacteriota; Desulfobulbia; Desulfobulbales; Desulfobulbaceae. The record is from RNAcentral.
ACAAGCGGUGGAGUAUGUGGUUUAAUUCGAUGCAACGCGAAGAACCUUACUGGUCUUGACAUCCCGGAGACCCUUAGGAACUAGGGGUGCUUCCAUCUGGAAGAAUCUGGAGACAGGUGCUGCAUGGCUGUCGUCAGCUCGUGUCGUGAGAUGUUGGGUUAAGUCCCGCAACGAGCGCAACCCUUGCCUUUAGUUGCCAGCAGUUCGGCUGGGCACUCUAAAGGGACUGCCGGUGUUAAACCGGAGGAAGGUGGGGAUGACGUCAAGUCCUCAUGGCCUUUAUGACCAGGGCUACACACGUACUACAAUGGCCGAUACAAAGGGCAGCGACACUGCGAGGUGAAGCCAAUCCCGUAAAAUCGGUCUCAGUCCGGAUUGGAGUCUGCAACUCGACUCCAUGAAGUUGGAAUCGCUAGUAAUCGUGGAUCAGCAUGCCACGGUGAAUACGUUCCCGGGCCUU